Molecule: non-coding RNA, 537 nt
Organism: Pelobates cultripes (western spadefoot toad)
Lineage: Eukaryota; Metazoa; Chordata; Amphibia; Anura; Pelobatidae
Source: the annotation of a GenBank genome assembly
GGCAAUCUUGUCAUGGUGGGUGUAUUUGUGACGACAUACAGGGUUCAUUUUUGUAAACAUCCUACACUCAGCUCUAAAGGUCUGAAAUGGCUGGGAGGGGGGUGUUUACCUCAAUUGACCUGAAAAAACUGCAGGCGCUUGUUAAAGUUUGAUGACAAGCAAACUGAGAUGUAAAAUCUAACUGGGCCAUUUGUUUGCAAUCAGUGUCUGGUACAAUUGUUUUCUGGUAUUCUUAAACUUCUCUAGAUCUGUCACUUUGACCCUCAAUAGUGCGCCUUUGCAUCAUUGGAUGACAGCGCAACGGGAACAUUUUGACAUGGUCCAUUAUUUCCCAUGACCUUCUCCACGGUAGUAAGAUUUAAUGGCUAUUCAGAAUGCUUUAUAGCGGUUUCAUACAGUAACAUUUAUAACUGUACCUCUUCUACACUUGCAAGUAAAUAAAGUUUUCCUUUUUGUAUUUGCUAUCCAAAGGCUUUCUAUUGGGUUAAGAGGGGAAUGUUAAUCCAUUCUUUUUUUAGUUAUACGGUAUUAUAAAGC